CUUACAACGGCAAGCCAAUCCUAGGCCCCAUCGUCAUAGGGGUGGGGCAUUCACUUCCCCGCCCCUCCCCGCCCCUUGGUUCUCUUUGCGGCGGAAGCUGAGCUGCGACCUAGCUAGCAACCGUUCUUGCAGAUCUUACCGCCAGUGACUUGGCUGCGACCCGCCCUUCUUGCCUCAGCCCUUCGGAAAGCGAAGAGUCUCCAUCUGUUGCUCAGGCUGGAGUGCAGUGGCACCAUCUCAGCUCACUGCAACCUCUGCCUCCGGGCUUCAAGCGAUUCUCCUGCCUCAGCCUCCCCAGUAGCUGGGAUUACAGAUAGAGAUGGGUUCUUGCUCUGUUGGCCAAGCUGGUCUCGAACUCCUGGUCUUAAGUGAUCCUCCUGUCUUGGCCUCCCAAAGUACUGGAAUUACAGGCAUGAGCCACCUAAAUUUUAUAUCCACUGGAAGUUUUAUUUCUUUAGGGUUUUAUCCCAACCAGUCACUUAAAAACCAAGUAACAACAACAACAACAACAAACAAGUAACAAUUAACACAGACCUGAGGGGUGGGAGCUGGGGACUGCACUCCCUCCUACUCAUGGUAGACAGCAGUGGAGAAGAGGGAGGGGCAGAAGAGAUGGCUGACCACAGGCAGCAGCAGCAGUGAUGGGGCCAUGAUGUCACAGAGCCAGCUCUGUCCUCCCCCAGACACUGGGUGGAGCCCCUGUGGCUUGGGGUGGGGAGUGGGGAGAACCCAGCCCAGGCCCUCCCCCUCCCUUCCCCAGACAGCCUCUUUGCUGUCUCAACCCACGUCUUCCAGCAGGAACCUGAGGCCCACGGAGAGGAGGAAGUGGGAGAGGAGGAUGCGGGAGAGGCAAGCUCCCCAUGGUGACACUCACCUCAACAUGGCUACCUUCUGUGGAUAUAGGUAAGUAUUCUCAGGCCCCUUACUUGGGGAUACCAUGUCUGCCCAUAGCUUCUGACCAUCCCAUCUCUGAAGGCAAGAGAAGU
Long non-coding RNA from Callithrix jacchus (white-tufted-ear marmoset), 986 nucleotides. RefSeq lists it as uncharacterized. NCBI's taxonomy places the organism in Eukaryota, Metazoa, Chordata, Mammalia, Primates, Cebidae. The record is from RefSeq and is a predicted model, not a curated record.